GACGAACGCUGGCGGCGUGCCUAACACAUGCAAGUCGAGCGGAGAUAAGCGGAAGGUAACUGAAGCUUAUCUUAGCGGCGGACGGGUGAGUAACACGUGGGCAACCUGCCUUGAAGUGGGGGAUAACACCGGGAAAUCGGUGCUAAUACCGCAUAACAUACACAAACUGCAUGGUGAGUGUAUCAAAGGAGCAAUCCGCUUUAAGAUGGGCCCGCGGCUGAUUAGCUAGUUGGUAAGGUAACGGCUUACCAAGGCGACGAUCAGUAGCCGACCUGAGAGGGUGACCGGCCACACUGGAACUGAGACACGGUCCAGACUCCUACGGGAGGCAGCAGUGGGGAAUAUUGCGCAAUGGGGGAACCCUGACGCAGCAACGCCGCGUGGAGGAAGAAGGUCUUCGGAUUGGUAAACUCCUGUCUUCUGGGACGAAUAAUGACGGUACCAGAGGAGGAAGCCACGGCUAACUACGUG
RNAcentral lists this ribosomal RNA (471 nucleotides) under uncultured bacterium. Its description in RNAcentral is "bacterial SSU rRNA". It matches the Rfam family "Bacterial small subunit ribosomal RNA", at positions 28 to 507 of the family's 1533-position model. The record is from RNAcentral.